GCUGAAUUUUCCUGUUUCCCUUCUACCAAAGGAUGUGGAAGUCAUACGUCUGCCAAAUAGGUCUAUGCCGAAUAAGUGUAACUGUUCAGAGAUGGUGAGGCAGAACCUGGUGAAAUUGCUGGAAAAGGUGAAGGCGAAAAACUCUAAUGACCCAAAGCGGAUAUCCAUAAAACCUUAUAUCCAUAACCUUUUGAAGAAAGUGAAGGGUAACUUAAACCUGCUGGAGCUGACCAAGGGAGAAGAUGUUUGCCUUCUGGACCAAGUCAGUGCAGAAAGAAGAAAGACGCACAGUAAAUUUCUAAAAGAAGUUCUAGACAAAUACACUACGUUCAUCCAAACCUUGAGUGAACGCUGCA
Molecule: long non-coding RNA, 356 nt
Organism: Anguilla rostrata (American eel)
Lineage: Eukaryota; Metazoa; Chordata; Actinopteri; Anguilliformes; Anguillidae
Exons: 3
Source: RefSeq, a predicted model, not a curated record